This 76-nucleotide transfer RNA is filed under the name Candidatus Hydrogenedentota bacterium. RNAcentral describes it as "tRNA-Ala". It matches the Rfam family "tRNA". Rfam says of the family: Transfer RNA (tRNA) molecules are approximately 80 nucleotides in length. Their secondary structure includes four short double-helical elements and three loops (D, anti-codon, and T loops). Further hydrogen bonds mediate the characteristic L-shaped molecular structure. tRNAs have two regions of fundamental functional importance: the anti-codon, which is responsible for specific mRNA codon recognition, and the 3' end, to which the tRNAs corresponding amino acid is attached (by aminoacyl-tRNA synthetases). tRNAs cope with the degeneracy of the genetic code in two manners: having more than one tRNA (with a specific anti-codon) for a particular amino acid; and 'wobble' base-pairing, i.e. permitting non-standard base-pairing at the 3rd anti-codon position. Lineage: Bacteria; Pseudomonadati; Candidatus Hydrogenedentota. The record is from RNAcentral.
GGGGGUGUAGCUCAGUUGGGAGAGCGCAGCGUUCGCAACGCUGAGGUCGGCGGUUCAAUCCCGCUCACCUCCACCA